UCAUCACUGACACACACAACAAUCUUCAUCAACAUGACCUUCAUCAUCAUCUUCAUCUGGACUCUCACAGCGUUUGCUCAAGAGUGUAGAGGACAGAUCAGCGUCACUCAGAGUCCCUCAACGACAGCAGCUCAACCAGGAGAAACAGUCAACAUCAAAUGUAGAACCAGCACAAAUGUGGUUGAAUAUAGUGCACCACGUUACUAUUUAAGCUGGUACUUACAGAAACCUGGAGAAGCUCCUAAACUCCUGAUUUAUCAAACAUCAGACCGUUACACUGGAACUCCAUCUAGAUUCAGUGGCACGAGUUCAUCUGCGACUGAUUUCACUCUGACCAUCAGUGGAGUCCAGACUGAAGAUACUGGACAUUAUUACUGUCAGAGUUUUCAUUGCAGAACAAAUUCUUAUGGUAGCUGUGUGGGUGAUCGUGUGUUCACACAGUGAUAAAGAGUCGUACAA
Carassius carassius (crucian carp) is the source of this 459-nucleotide non-coding RNA. NCBI's taxonomy places the organism in Eukaryota, Metazoa, Chordata, Actinopteri, Cypriniformes, Cyprinidae. The record is from the annotation of a RefSeq genome assembly.